AUUGAACGCUGGCGGCAGGCCUAACACAUGCAAGUCGAACGGUAACAGGAAGCAGCUUGCUGCUUUGCUGACGAGUGGCGGACGGGUGAGUAAUGUCUGGGAAACUGCCUGAUGGAGGGGGAUAACUACUGGAAACGGUAGCUAAUACCGCAUAACGUCGCAAGACCAAAGAGGGGGACCUUCGGGCCUCUUGCCAUCGGAUGUGCCCAGAUGGGAUUAGCUAGUAGGUGGGGUAACGGCUCACCUAGGCGACGAUCCCUAGCUGGUCUGAGAGGAUGACCAGCCACACUGGAACUGAGACACGGUCCAGACUCUUACGGGAGGCAGCAGUGGGGAAUAUUGCACAAAGGGCGCAAGCCUGAUGCAGCCAUGCCGCGUGUAUGAAGAAGGCCUUCGGGUUGUAAAGUACUUUCAGCGGGGAGGAAGGGAGUAAAGUUAAUACCUUUGCUCAUUGACGUUACCCGCAGAAGAAGCACCGGCUAACUCCGUG
Molecule: ribosomal RNA, 490 nt
Filed under: uncultured bacterium
Lineage: Bacteria
Description: partial 16S ribosomal RNA
Rfam family: Bacterial small subunit ribosomal RNA
Source: RNAcentral